RNAcentral lists this transfer RNA (72 nucleotides) under Camelus bactrianus (Bactrian camel). It matches the Rfam family "tRNA". From Rfam's summary of the family: Transfer RNA (tRNA) molecules are approximately 80 nucleotides in length. Their secondary structure includes four short double-helical elements and three loops (D, anti-codon, and T loops). Further hydrogen bonds mediate the characteristic L-shaped molecular structure. tRNAs have two regions of fundamental functional importance: the anti-codon, which is responsible for specific mRNA codon recognition, and the 3' end, to which the tRNAs corresponding amino acid is attached (by aminoacyl-tRNA synthetases). tRNAs cope with the degeneracy of the genetic code in two manners: having more than one tRNA (with a specific anti-codon) for a particular amino acid; and 'wobble' base-pairing, i.e. permitting non-standard base-pairing at the 3rd anti-codon position. The record is from Rfam by way of RNAcentral. Lineage: Eukaryota; Metazoa; Chordata; Mammalia; Artiodactyla; Camelidae. RNAcentral also lists the same sequence under 2 other names.
GAGGGUAUAGCUCAGUGGUAGAGUGCAUGGUUAGCAUGCAUGAGGUCCUGGGUUCGAUCCCCAGUACCUCCA